Molecule: ribosomal RNA, 59 nt
Filed under: Trueperella abortisuis
Lineage: Bacteria; Bacillati; Actinomycetota; Actinomycetes; Actinomycetales; Actinomycetaceae
Description: partial 32S ribosomal RNA
Source: RNAcentral
AACCUGCCUGGAGUUGUUUCUGGGUACCGCCACCUGAAUGUAUAGGGGUGGUGGGGCGG